GUGGGGAAUUUUGGACAAUGGGCGCAAGCCUGAUCCAGCAAUGCCGCGUGCAGGAAGAAGGCCUUCGGGUUGUAAACUGCUUUUGUACGGAACGAAACGGUCCGGGUUAAUACCCUGGGCUAAUGACGGUACCGUAAGAAUAAGUACCGGCUAACUACGUGCCAGCAGCCGCGGUAAUACGUAGGGUGCAAGCGUUAAUCGGAAUUACUGGGCGUAAAGCGUGCGCAGGCGGUUUUGUAAGACAGGCGUGAAAUCCCCGGGCUCAACCUGGGAAUUGCGCUUGUGACUGCAAGGCUGGAGUGCGGCAGAGGGGGAUGGAAUUCCGCGUGUAGCAGUGAAAUGCGUAGAUAUGCGGAGGAACACCGAUGGCGAAGGCAAUCCCCUGGGCCUGCACUGACGCUCAUGCACGAAAGCGUGGGGAGCAAACAGGAUUAGAAACCCUUGUAGUCC
Molecule: ribosomal RNA, 450 nt
Filed under: uncultured bacterium
Lineage: Bacteria
Description: partial 16S ribosomal RNA
Rfam family: Bacterial small subunit ribosomal RNA
Source: RNAcentral